This 1424-nucleotide long non-coding RNA is filed under the name Lytechinus variegatus (green sea urchin). RNAcentral's name for it is "uncharacterized LOC121419362". Lineage: Eukaryota; Metazoa; Echinodermata; Echinoidea; Temnopleuroida; Toxopneustidae. The record is from RNAcentral.
AGAUACCGGCACAUGUAAAGCGCAUGCGUACGCGUGCGCAGUGCUAUGCUAGUGGUCGGAAGAUGGCGUUGAGUAUGUUCGACUCGGAGACUGCUGCAGUGCACUGGAAAAAUCGUGUUUAAUCUCCGUUUUAGAAAAUGAAAGAUUUGGGGGUGACAAACCUGCUUCAGGAGUGGGACUUCCCACAUUUAGUUCCAAUCUUUAGAGUUAAAUGUUGCAGAAGAUGAGCACGAAGACACCUACUGGAUCUCGGUACCGAGAUAUGAGUUGACUAGAGGAAACCCGCGACCAAGCACAGCAGAAAUUCUUGACAAAUAUCUACAGCUUUUGGGAAUGAUUGAUCAAGACUUUGAUUUAACAAUUGAUGCAGCUCCUGGUGCCCUUUUCACAAUGUGGCCAAAGUUGUCCAGGCAGACUUUGGAAUUUGCGGAGAUUAAUCCAGGGUAUAGAAAGAUCCUAGGGGCUGGAGUGGACCAGAAAAUGACGCAGAGUCAACAAUGAAGAAAUUUGGCUUUCAGUACUUCCUGGGAUUUUGAUCGGCAGAACGAAAGGGGAAUGAGGCAAAUUAAAUGUGCCGUACUUCAAAGUCUUGAAUCUUUCAUCAAUCUCCAAUUAGAAGGAGCAUGAAGAAAAGAAGAUGAACAGGAAUUGACAAUGGCGCGUUCCAUACCUGGGAGUGAUUGCACAGUGGCACCCUUGGACCUAAUUUCACCCUGACAUCAAGUUGGUUUUAAGGAGAACCAUGAGAGAAAUUAAUAAAUUAAAGAUUGCCGAAUAUCAAAGAAUAACAGAGUUAUGAGGCUUCAAAGUUUUAAAUUUGUGACAUGACAUGCGAGCAGCUCCCAAUAUGUCAAUCAUGUAAUAUAAAUUCCAUAAAUUGCCAUUUUUUAAUGGUUUUCAUGAUAAUUAAAUGGGUUUUUAUCAGAAGCUUGUAUGAAAUAAUGUUUCUGAUAACAUUGAAUCCACAGGUAAAAUCAUUUUCCAAUUUCCCUAGAAAAGGCACUUGUAUAGAAUUGAUAUCACAUAAAAUAUGGGGAGCUGCUCGCAUGUGAAGUCACAAAUUUAAAACUUCAUAACUCUUAUUCUUGGUGGAUUUUCACCAACUAACAUGCAAUGUCAGGAUGAACCUUGCCUUUAAACCUUAUAUUGGCAGCCUUUCAUUGACAUUUACAUACAGUAUUUUAGGUUUUGUGAGCAAGUAUAUGAAAAAGGUGCUAAUUAACACCUACUUCCCCUUCUUAACCCUAAACAGGCCGGGGGGGGUUUAAAACAACCUUCCCCCAACAUUAUCUGCGAUCAUUCCUCUGCGGGAGAUUUGUUGACCCUGCCACUCUCAGAGUUUAUACUAAGUCUCGCGCAUCUUUUGAGACCAAAUUUACGAUGCCCAGGUACGUUGUCCCGAAAUUAUGCAACAUUUCGUAAGU